AAACCUAAAGCCCCAAAACGGGAUCGAAUCUCACUUCGUCACUGACUCACUGUCAGUCCCACUUCGCCGUCGCUGAUCAAGCCUUCGCCGUCGCCCUCUCACAUCGUCGUCGCUGAUCAGUUCUUCGCCGUUGCUAUCUCACAUCGCUGUCGCUCUCUCUCUCUCUGUCUGUCCUCACCGCGCCCCUCCUCCCCAAAGCUCAUCCGUCAGCCUCCAGCCUUACAUCUUAACGAGUUAACAUUGAACCCAUUCGCAACCUUUUUGCUGCCCUUUUCCUUGCCAGCAUUGGGAUGCUGAUUCAUGUUCAGUUUCUCUGGAAUCAUGUUGAUAUAUUUCUCGCGUCUGUCAUCUUAGUUAUCAUCAUAAAAACAAUUAUUCUAACCAUGGUUGUCAAGGGAUUUGGAUACAACAACAAAACAUCAUUCCUAGUUUGAAUAUCUCUAGCACAGAUAGGCGAAUUUGCUUUUGUUCUUUUAAGUCGUGCCUCUAAUCUCCAUCUAGUCGAGGGGAAAUUAUAUCUGCUGCUGCUUGGAACCACAGCACUUAGUCUGGUGACCACCCCUUUUCUAUUCAAGCUAAUCCCUGUUAAUGAGUUUUGGUAAACCUUAAAAACAAAACGAUAUUUUGCUCAUGUUAGUAUACUUGUGGCACAUAUUAUCCUUGAAACAUAGGCCACACGAGGAUGGUUAGGAUGGUUACUCUCGUUCUAGUUUUGAAACCUAAUCAACUUGGUUCUCAUGUGCUCUACGAUCCUAAUGCAAUGCAGUUUCUUAU
This is a long non-coding RNA of Rosa rugosa (rugosa rose), 774 nucleotides long. RefSeq lists it as uncharacterized. The transcript is spliced from 5 exons. NCBI's taxonomy places the organism in Eukaryota, Viridiplantae, Streptophyta, Magnoliopsida, Rosales, Rosaceae. The record is from RefSeq and is a predicted model, not a curated record.